CAAUUUAUUAAUGGUUAUCUUAAAGCAGAAGACUGAAACGGUCUCAGCUUAGAGCCUAGCAGGGUGAAGGAAACAGAGUUUUCUAAUGGAGGUAGGCAUCAAGGAGGUAGCAAAUCGGUUCGUCGGCAGGAAGGAGUGUGUGUGGUCAGGAAGAGCGGCAGACAGCUGAGCUGAGUCUGCAAGGAUGAAUAGGAGACUCCAGGGACAAGACUGGAAAGGGCAGCCCUUUCUUGACAUCUCUUAGGGAAUAAACAGCUUAUGGUUGGCUGGGACUCCUUGGAGAAGGUCUGGGUGAGGCCAGUGGGAGCCCGCAGGAGUAAAAGCCCUAAAGAAGCGCUGAUUCACACCGGCUGCAGAUUUUGGCCAAGAAAUGCACUCAUUUCUCCAAAUAACCAGCUUUUCAAUAUAAAGGUUUGUCUAUGCCUCGUCGAUCCCCAAUCCUCCCAGUCCUACUGAACUCGGAAGUACCAACCGCGAAGGUUCUGUUUGAUGGUUCCCAUCAAGGAUAAAACUGAAAAUAGGAAGCCUUCAGUUGCUGACUGUGAGAUAAACUUGCCUAAGCAGCCUGCCAAAAGCAGCAGAUCAUAUGAAAAGCCACAUGACUAACCAGAAAUAAUUGGAGCUUAAAAGAUGCCAGAGUCGAUGAGUAAGAUUUCUUUCAACAAAAGAUUUACUUAAAGCAAAUUCACCCACUCACAAGUUCUUGAGUGCCAUCAUCUUUUAACCUUGGGACAUUUCACUUGCUCUGGUGUGGUUUCAUUGACACAGAAAUGUCAGCCUUUAAUGGCUAUAACUAGUUGUCUAUUUAUUUCUCUGUUCAAUAUAUCUUCAAAGUUUACUGUGUGCUGCCUGUGCUUCAAGAUGCAAA
Manis javanica (Malayan pangolin) is the source of this 868-nucleotide non-coding RNA. The record is from RefSeq and is a predicted model, not a curated record. NCBI's taxonomy places the organism in Eukaryota, Metazoa, Chordata, Mammalia, Pholidota, Manidae.